UUGAAGAUGUAUAUAGUAGGAAAAGUUCAAGUUUUUGGAUUGGUCCUUUUUGUUUGCUUUAUAAAGAGUUGUUAGUUUUGUGAAUUAUUUACAGAUCAAUGAAUGAGUUAAGAUCUCUAAUCUAUAUAUACAUUUUUGCAGUCAUUUUGUGAAAUAAAUCCUGCAAUUGGAACUUAUUUACAAUGGCUGUCACUGGCUUAUUAAAUGCAAAAAUUAACUACCAAAUCAAAGCAAAUCUUAUUCAAAAGAAUAUGCUUUUAUUUCAUGGCCUAAUUAUUUUUGCCAAAAUGGUUA
Molecule: small RNA, 294 nt
Filed under: Arabidopsis thaliana (thale cress)
Lineage: Eukaryota; Viridiplantae; Streptophyta; Magnoliopsida; Brassicales; Brassicaceae
Description: ATSL137670
Source: RNAcentral